CUCUACCGAAACUAACACAUG
Molecule: small nuclear RNA, 21 nt
Filed under: Arabidopsis thaliana (thale cress)
Lineage: Eukaryota; Viridiplantae; Streptophyta; Magnoliopsida; Brassicales; Brassicaceae
Description: snRNA_10700
Source: RNAcentral